AUUGAACGCUGGCGGCAGGCCUAACACAUGCGAGUCGAGCGGAUGAAGGGAGCUUGCUCCUGGAUUCAGCGGCGGACGGGUGAGUAAUGCCUAGGAAUCUGCCUGGUAGUGGGGGAUAACGUCCGGAAACGGGCGCUAAUACCGCAUACGUCCUGAGGGAGAAAGUGGGGGAUCUUCGGACCUCACGCUAUCAGAUGAGCCUAGGUCGGAUUAGCUAGUUGGUGGGGUAAAGGCCUACCAAGGCGACGAUCCGUAACUGGUCUGAGAGGAUGAUCAGUCACACUGGAACUGAGACACGGUCCAGAUUCCUACGGGAGGCAGCAUUGGGGAAUAUUGGACAAUGGGCGAAAGCCUGAUCCAGCCAUGCCGCGUGUGUGAAGAAGGUCUUCGGAUUGUAAAGCACUUUAAGUUGGGAGGAAGGGCAGUAAGUUAAUACCUUGCUGUUUUGACGUUACCAACAGAAUAAGCACCGGCUAACUUCGUG
This 484-nucleotide ribosomal RNA is filed under the name uncultured bacterium. Its description in RNAcentral is "partial 16S ribosomal RNA". It matches the Rfam family "Bacterial small subunit ribosomal RNA", at positions 30 to 507 of the family's 1533-position model. The record is from RNAcentral.